This 253-nucleotide ribosomal RNA is filed under the name uncultured bacterium. RNAcentral's name for it is "partial 16S ribosomal RNA". It matches the Rfam family "Bacterial small subunit ribosomal RNA", at positions 524 to 776 of the family's 1533-position model. The record is from RNAcentral.
UACGUAGGGUCCGAGCGUUGUCCGGAAUUACUGGGCGUAAAGAGCUCGUAGGUGGUUCGUCGCGUUGUUCGUGAAAACUCACAGCUUAACUGUGGGCGUGCGGGCGAUACGGGCAGACUGGAGUACUGCAGGGGAGACUGGAAUUCCUGGUGUAGCGGUGGAAUGCGCAGAUAUCAGGAGGAACACCGGUGGCGAAGGCGGGUCUCUGGGCAGUAACUGACGCUGAGGAGCGAAAGCGUGGGGAGCGAACAGG